Molecule: ribosomal RNA, 427 nt
Filed under: uncultured bacterium
Lineage: Bacteria
Description: bacterial SSU rRNA
Rfam family: Bacterial small subunit ribosomal RNA
Source: RNAcentral
UGGGGAAUUUUGGACAAUGGGCGCAAGCCUGAUCCAGCAAUGCCGCGUGCAGGAUGAAGGCCUUCGGGUUGUAAACUGCUUUUGUACGGAACGAAACGGCUCUGUCUAAUACAUGGGGCUAAUGACGGUACCGUAAGAAUAAGCACCGGCUAACUACGUGCCAGCAGCCUCGGUAAUACGUAGGGUGCAAGCGUUAAUCGGAAUUACUGGGCGUAAAGCGUGCGCAGGCGGGGAUGUAAGACAGGUGUGAAAUCCGCGGGCUUAACCUGGGACCUGCAUUUGUGAGUGUAUAGCUAGAGUACGGUAGAGGGGGAUGGAAUUCCGAGUGUAGCAGUGAAAUGUGUAGAUAUGCGGAGGAACACCGAUGGCGAAGGCAAUCCCCUGGACCUGUACUGACGCUCAUGCACGAAAGCGUGGGGAGCAAACA